GCCGGAGUGGCGGAAUCGGAAGACGCGCGGGACUUAAAAUCCCGUGAGGCGCAGGCCUCGUGUGGGUUCGAUCCCCACCUCCGGCACCG
RNAcentral lists this transfer RNA (89 nucleotides) under Bacillota bacterium. Its description in RNAcentral is "Firmicutes bacterium (hot springs metagenome) tRNA-Leu". It matches the Rfam family "tRNA". Rfam says of the family: Transfer RNA (tRNA) molecules are approximately 80 nucleotides in length. Lineage: Bacteria; Bacillati; Bacillota. The record is from RNAcentral.